Molecule: long non-coding RNA, 2823 nt
Filed under: Triticum aestivum (bread wheat)
Lineage: Eukaryota; Viridiplantae; Streptophyta; Magnoliopsida; Poales; Poaceae
Description: long non-coding RNA (TAES_LNC028132)
Rfam family: MIR1120/MIR1122 microRNA precursor family (bases 1284-1408)
Source: RNAcentral
UUUAGGCCUCGUUUGGUCUCAGGGUUUCCCCCCGGGAUCCCUGCCUGUUCCCCGGGCUGGGAACCCACGAGCCAACCUAGCCCUGGGGUGAUCCACCCGGUCAUUUGGUGGCCCACGAGAUGGGGGUAGCCCGGCCCUUUCCACGCCUUUUCCCUGGGAGAGCCUUCCACGCCUCCAGUGGUCGGGGACGAAACCCUCGUUCUCUCGGUCUCGCGAAUGAGAGGCGGCGGCGGCAAGAUCCGAGAGCGACGCUCCGCCCUCCUCCGUCCAAGGCUCCGCCCGGCAACCGGAGGCGACGCACCACCGCCUACACCUCCACGAACUGCUCCUCCGGCGGGGGCAACGGCGACCGGGGUCAUCAUCCUCCCUCUUCCCGGAUCUCGUCUCUGCCCAGAGGUCAUCCUCCUCUUUGACCAAGGCCAUCCCCUCCUUCUCCUCUUCAACUAACCAUUUUUCUCCGCCAUGGUGAUUUCUUUUCUGCUACACGAACUGACGAGCGCCUAUACAGAUCGAAGGACCUUCUCUGUUGUCUGAAAUUUGUACCAAGUGAGCAGCUGUACUGAAGAACAUCGAACGUUUUGCAGUGCAUCUAACUAACCUGACCUCACAAGUGAGCACAGCCACCCUUACCUCCCUGUUAUGCUAAUCUAUAUGCACAAUGUUCUAGUAUAUUGUGAAGAGGGCAAAUUUGUUUGUGGGUGGGUUAAUUCAAGGAGGUAGGAUUGGUGCAAAAUGUCCUUUCAAGAGAUACUCUGUUUAUCUUGUCGUAUCUUAUAUUCCAAACAUUCUAGGGUCUUGAAAGUGCGUGUAAAAGAGCAACUAUUUGGUUUGUUAAUCUGUCAGGCAAAACCUUGGAGUAUUAUCUUAUCAUCACAGAUCAUAUAUUAAUCCAACCAUCCUGGUGCGUUAGUGCAUAUGUAUGUUGGCUGCAAACUGAAACAGCAUGUUCCAAUUUAUGGUUCACCACCUGAAUUGCUAAAGGAAUAUUAGCUUACCAUGUACAGUAAUAGAAUCAUUUCAUUGUGUUCUGUUUAGUUGAAAAAUGGAGUGGUAUACAGGAAGAAUGACAUGUGUCCUGUACUCACAGCUGCAUUUGAUCAAUCCUAGCUUAUUUGGUUGUGAAUCGAACAUAUAUUUUGCUUGGUUUGUCUAACUCAUGAGUGACCAUUGAUUUCUAGUAGGUGCUGAUUUGUAGGUCUGCUCUGAAAUUAGAAGUUGGCUUUAUCUGAAGACCUUGUGUAAAAUUGCUUGGUGCCUUUCGAAAGAUUUCACUCAGAGCAAGAAAGGUACUCCCUCCGUCCGGAAAUACUCGUCGGAGAAAUGCAUAAAAAUGGAUGUAUCUAAAACUAAAAUACGUCUAGAUACAUCCAUUUAUCCGACAAGUAUUUUCGGACGGAGGGAGUAUGUGACACAGACAUCCUUUUGACAUGGUCAUUGAGGAAGCUUAAAUUAUGCAAAACUACUGCUCUUGUGAUGUUAUUUUUCUGUGCCUAGUAAUGAAAGUGUUCUUAUUUUAGUAUAUGAGAAAAUUGUUGCUCUUAAUUAUGUAUGUAGAUGGCACAAUAGAGAUGGUAUUAUCUCUGUAUUCACUCCUGAGCUUUCUUUGCAGCAUAGAGAUGGCAUUAUUAGUGCUUUAUUUAUAAUUAUUAUUGUUGUAUUAAUUUUGUUUUCAUUGGGUAUAAUAGUGAUGCAUUCUAGGAGAAAUAAAAUUAGAUUAUCUUGCAAGAACAAGAAGAAGACGAUGAACUAUUUUUCCUUUUGGUUCCCGCUUUAUAUGCUUGCCUUUAUGAGGAAAAACAUCCAGUUCACACAUCAUCUUUAUCCGGGGCUGCAAAGGUUAAGGAAAUAUUAGAAGGUCAUGAGAGUUGGUCUAGGGUUGAGUUUCAGAUGGAACCUGAGAUUUUUAAGUCUAUCGUGGAUAUCUUAAAAGAGAGGAACUAUUGAAGGGCACGUCGCGUGUUGCUGUCGAGGAGCAGUUGGCAAUGUUCAUGUACAUGAUUUCGCACAAUCUGGUUCUUAGGACAUUCUGAAUCUGAGUACUCUAUAGAUCUUCAAAGAAGAUUGAAGAAAUUAUAUUCUUUUCGCAAGUAAUGUGGUCUUGGUUUUGUUAUGCACACUGCACAUACAAUAUGUUGGUUAAUACCAUUUCAUCUUAAUCUGUUUAUAUACUUAGAAAUAGUCUUUUGAAACUGUGAACUAGUGUUAACUUAAUUUUGUGUAGUUCAGUGAUCAUCAAGUUGCGGUACCUCAUGUCGAUGCGAAGUGGAGAGAAGACCCGAGUAGGGCUAGUGGUCGUUGCCUUGCAAUUAAUCUUAUUCAAAAGUCCCUCUGCCUCUGACAUGGCAAUUGAUAAUUCAAGUUUUUUUAUUGUUGUGAACAAAGUUGAACGAUGAUGGCACGUGAAAACGGUUUAGGCCAACACUUGGUCGCAGUGAAAUGUGGACCGGACGGUAUUUGAACCUUGGUGAACUGAUGGUUAUCAAUUGUAAUAUUUCUUUCUAGUUUACCGGAAUUCUGAAAUUUUGUAUGUGUUUUUUAGAAUUAUUUGUGAAAUUCUUAUCUAUUGUCAGUUAUUAUCUGUAGAAUUUUCUAUGAAGGCUGUGAAAUUUUGUAUGUACAAGUCUAUUGUUAUCUGUGUAUGAUGAAAGGCUAAGUCUGUGUGUUAUCUAUAGGACUUUCUUCCCUCCCCCUUGUUGCCAUUUGGCCACCCAGGGCAGUGGGAACUUCUCCCACGUGGUGGGAGGGAUCUUGUGAGCACAGGAGAAUCUCCCCUAGGGGGUUUAUUUCCCUGGUUUUUUCCUGCCCAACAACCAAAUGAGUGAC